AUGAAGACAAUAAGUUGGAGUAUCAUCUUACCUCAUGUGUUGCUGUCAUGGUAUCAAUCCACUGUGAUGCUAGUGGUAGACAAUGGAUGCCUGUGGAACAACUUCAUGCAGAGCUUACUAAAAAGUUCACUGCGAUAUGGCCCUAUGGCAAUGUCCAGAAGUACCUGGCACCAGAGGAUGGCUCCUCAACCAGAACAGCAGAGAGGCCAUGGCACAGGCUGUUGGAGCUGCUCAAGAAUCACCCGGAGAGGUUUAUCAUGA
This 261-nucleotide ribosomal RNA is filed under the name Triticum aestivum (bread wheat). RNAcentral describes it as "partial small subunit ribosomal RNA". The record is from RNAcentral. Lineage: Eukaryota; Viridiplantae; Streptophyta; Magnoliopsida; Poales; Poaceae.